This 81-nucleotide transfer RNA is filed under the name Apaloderma vittatum (bar-tailed trogon). It matches the Rfam family "tRNA". Rfam says of the family: Transfer RNA (tRNA) molecules are approximately 80 nucleotides in length. Their secondary structure includes four short double-helical elements and three loops (D, anti-codon, and T loops). Lineage: Eukaryota; Metazoa; Chordata; Aves; Trogoniformes; Trogonidae. The record is from Rfam by way of RNAcentral.
GGCCGGUUAGCUCAGUGGUUUGAGUGCGGUGCUGACAACAAUGACAACACCGAGAUUGCGGGUUCAAUUCCUGCCCGGUCC